RNAcentral lists this long non-coding RNA (10691 nucleotides) under Coffea arabica (coffee). RNAcentral describes it as "long non-coding RNA (CARA_LNC002147)". The record is from RNAcentral. Lineage: Eukaryota; Viridiplantae; Streptophyta; Magnoliopsida; Gentianales; Rubiaceae.
GGUGGAGGAACUGCAUGUUCUGGUGUCCCGUGGGAGUUGUGUUCAUCAUCAGAACCAGUAUCCGCAUUGCUACCACUGGUUCCACCAUAACUGCGAUCUUCAUCAACCUCCAUGUACUCAUUCCUGUCCAAUUCAUCAGGAUCACUAUCUCCACUAAAGGAUCUAACGCGUUCAUCAGAAGACCUGACCCUAUUUCCCACUGAACCUUCUCUCCUCAGUUCCAUGUACUCAUUCCUUGUGAAGCUGUACUUAUUCUUGUGAUUUCUGAAGGGGUUGUACUUUUUCUUGUCAGGUGUUUGAAGUUGGACAAUUUUUAAGCUAUGUAGCAGUGUUUUACAUGGUUAUUUGGCUGUAGUUUGUGCGUUUAUUUGGCUGGACAAAACCUGUUAUGGUAUAUUGGCUCUUAUGAAUGUUGUUUCAUAUGGAAUUAGACUGUAGUUUGUGUAUUUGUUGACUGCAGCCCUGGAGUUUGUGUUGUAUGGAUCAUGGAUGUUAUGGUCUUAUUUGUCUUGGAUGAAAUGUGGUUAGAGUUUGUGUAUUGUUGAAUGUGAAUGGCAUUGGUUGCCAAUCCUAAUAUUUUUUGUUGAUUUUGGAUAGCCUAAAUCUGGAUAUGUUGGAGCAGGACUUCGUAAAUAACUGAUUGUUGAAUUUUGAAAUCGAGCCUCAAAAUCGAGUCUCGAGCUUCGAACUCGAGUCUAAAAUCAAGCCUCGAGCCUCGAACUCGAGCCUUGAGCUCGGAUAGAUAUUUCGAGCUCGAGCUCGAGCUCGUCCGAGCCUGGCUCGUUUAUGAUAAACGAGUCGAGCUCGAGCUCGAGUUCGAGUCACAUUUCCUUUUUUCGAGUCGAGUUCGAGUGCGUAUUAUGGCUCGUUAGCGCUAUCGAGCGAGCUCGAGUUUGGCUCGAAUUCGUCACGAGUCGAGCUCGGCGUUCAGAUACUCGGCUCGACUCGGCUCGAUUAACAGCACUAUCAGUUUUUAACUUUUUAUAGAAAAGCGAUGUCGUAUUAACUUAGACAAGUGACCUGCACAGCGGAUCUGGUGUCCCAUAGUCACGGUCACUUAUCAUUCAUCCUCUCUGGGAAUAAAGCCUUGAGAAAAUUUGGAAAACGGCAAAAGGAAAAUUCAGAAUAUAUACCAAUGGUGUUUUUUUUUUUUUUUUUUACUGACGGAGUAAGUGUCCGAGUCAAUUUUUACAAGGUCCGACUAAUCUCACUCCGGUCUGGGAGGAGAGACUCCAUCCUCUCGAACACGAUAAUCACAAGACUCGAAUCCUUGCGGACACUGGACACCAGCUUCCAAGGAGGCUCGUUGAGACCAACCGAGUUACUCAUGAGGGGCAGAUAAUUUGAUGGGAGGCAAGGAUUGAAUUCCUGACCUCCCACCCCACCAGGAGGGUGGUGGCCAGUGGUUAUAUACCAAGGGUGUUAGUUUCGAGAAAUUCGUGAAUAGGAUAUCGGUUACUAUUCAUUCACGUAUUAAAAUAACUACAAAAAAUUCAUAAACUUCCUUCUAUCUUGACUUCCCAAUCAAUGCAAUAGUGAUAGCUCCAUUGAGUUUCUUUAAAAGGGAAAGGUAUGACGGGAAGGCAAGUUAAAGAGUGUGGCAAUAUAACCCUCAUUGUAAAGUGAGGUUAAAGAGACCGCCCAAGGCUACAAAUUUUCAAGUGUUCAAAAACAUCUAACCAUAUAAUAAUGGUUAAAUUGCAGUGAUCGAAAAUUCCGUCAUCUAGAAUUAUUGCAUGAAUAGCCAAUGCUACUACUAUAUAUUCAGUCAAUUUUCUUUUCAAAAGAUAUUUUAAUUUCGUGCAUGUAUGAAUUGAGCAGUGGUUGGUGAACUGGCUAGUUUCAACUUUCGACCUUUAAAUGGACUGCACGGGGCAGAUACUGUAUACAUGGCCAGCUCCUGUUCCUAUCUUCAUCUGAUCUUCUUCUGCCUAAUACUAGUUCCUUCAUUGCUAUCAGUAAUGCCUUCUUAUCAUUGUGUUGAUCCACCUCCGCUACAAGAUUAUUGCAUCGCGAAUUUAAGCUCAAACAUGAAUUUGAAUGGCUAUCCUUGCAAGAAUCCUUCUGAUGUAACUUCAGACGACUUCUGCUACAAAGGUUUCUUGAAUGACAACAAAGUGUUCAAUAUCUAUGGGCUGAGCAUCAGCCAAGCAACAGUUAAUAAUUUCCCGGGGCUAAACAGUCUUGGAAUAUCCAUGAUUCAAGCGGAGCUGCUCAAAGGAGGAGGCAUACACCCCCACGGGCAUCUGAGCCAGUUGUAUGCACGAAGGGGAGAAUCCUUGAAGGCUUUGUGACAACAGAUAGCGCUUUCUUGUACAAAAUUUUGAAGCCCAAAAUGGUGUUUGUGAUCCCUCAGGCGAUGUUGCACAUGGUAAUUAAUGUUGGAAAAGGGAAUGCCCUCCUUUAUGCAAAGCUUCAACAGUCAAAAUCCAGGUCUCUCUUCAAUUCCACUCCUUCAGUUCCUGAUGCUGCCUUGAGCAAAUCAUUUCGAGCAAACGAUUCCAUCGUUGAAUUCAUCAAGUCCAACAUCAAUGUUCCACUUAUUCCGUCAUGAUCAUGUUUUGGAUCAAGUGCAAAUACAUACCAUCGUAUAUACUUAUAAUGCUUGCUCCUGUAAGAUAUAUUCGUGCGCGCACACAUAUAUUCUGUAUGUACGUAUGUACGCAUGAAUGUAUAUGUAUUCUUAUGUACUGCAACAGCUAGAAUAUAAAUAAAGGUCAAUUUCUUAUGUAUCUAAGCAUGUGAUUAGAAUUUCUUUUGCUAUGUGGCAGCAAUUCAAGUGUAAGACGUCUGAAUUGCAGAAAUGAUACCUUUCAUAAGUGCUCUGAUCAACCAAAAAAAGAAAAGAAAAAGAAAAACUUUCAUGACACUAAACCGUCAUUAUUGGAGCAUAAAUCCCCUGUCCAAAAAGUUUGAUCUUGUCCUCUGGCAACACUUGCAACAACAAUCUCUAGAAUUAUAUGUCAGGUUCAAGAACUUAACAGAAUUUAUUUACGUCAAAAAAGUUUUUAUAGUAUUAUGUAGAGAGGCCUCCUACUAAAUAUCAGUUGCACUGAAAUUAAGGUUCUAGAUAAACUGUUUACUGAAACAGAAAUUAAAAAGCAUCCUAGUAUAAAGAUAAUCGAAUUUUUUUCAUUUUUCGUCCAACUCCGAAUAUAUAGUAACAUGAUUAUAGAUAAAUGGUCUCACAUACAUUAUAAAAAUAUAUAAUUUGUAGUAAAAAUUCACAUGCAGUGAGAGAACAAGAAAAUAUCAAUAUGAAAACAAAACUUCAUAAAAAUUGUUGAUAUAUCUGCUUCAAGGAACCGAAAACAGAAAUCACUGUAAAAUCACACCAAACUAAACGCGCAAAGGAGUCUGAAAACUAUACAAUUGAAACAGUCUGAAACAAAAAUAGGUAGUCAAUCCCAGGGGCUAGCUAGUCGAAAACUAGUUCUAUAUAUGUUAUUGCAUCAGACAAAUAAAUGAACUUGAAUUUGAAUUACUUUUGUAUGCUCCCAUGUAAGGCAUGCUUCACAUAUGUUCUACUGGAAUGAAACAUCGCCAUUCUUCAGAAAUCUUGAAUAAUUGCAGUCAAAUUGUUCUAAUCACCACAAUGUAGUACGAGAUUCUUCACACCCCAUUUCUCUUCAUCUGCAAAAACCUAAACCCAUAACAGCAAGUUCAAAACCGAAUCAAUAAUUUUUUUUUUUUAAAGAGAAAUAAAAGACCAACCUUACCUAGGUAUUUAUCUAGCUCAGCCAUGUGCCUCAUUCUUCAUCCGCAAUUGUUGUGGGCUAAAUUGUAUACUAUCAAUGGGUGAAACCAAACUCUCCACAUAUGUAAUAGCAUCCGAAAGCAUUCCAUUGUUAACAUUGUGUGUUUUGACAAUUCUUGGAGUGUUCCCGUUGAAAUAGUACCUUUGCAAGGUCUUUUGAUCAACAUCCACAAUUAAAUCGCCAUUCCUUAAAGUUCCUAAAGGCCUCAAAAUAUUGGAAUUGGCUUCAAAUCCUUCUAACUGAAUCAAAUUAGUCCAAUAAUAUUGUCCCAAGUUACACUCUUUCAUCGUCCAUAUCUCAAAAUUCUUAUAGGGCUUACAAAUUGCACAAAGGCUUCCGUCCAAAACCCCCAAGGUAAAACUUGCAUUCCCUCUGAUGAUAUCGGGUGCUGGUAUUCCCCUAACUUCCGCGUUUGACAAAUUGUAUGAAACCACAAUGUGCCUAUUCUGCAAGCAUGGCCAAUAAACAUUACCGUUGAAAUAGGUACCCCUCCUCUCGAAAGCUCGAGUUGGACGUAUUACUUCGUCCUUGUGCUUCCUCCAGUCGUACAAACCUUCAUAUGGGCUCAAUUCGUAGAUUUUGUGGUACUUGCGAUGGCUGGAUACAAGCAAUUUGUAGCCAUCAGACAUGCAGUCACCGCCGAACCAAUAGAAGCCAAGGUCAGCAUGGCUAAAAGGCAAAGGUGAAGUCACUAACUCUUGGGAAGAUGGAUUCCAUAUGAUAAUGGAUUUGUCCUUAACUCCACUCAACAAACAUAUUAAUCCAUCACAUGAUCCUAUAAUUUCCAGAUAAAACGGGGACAUCUCCCUCGGAUAACGAAGAGGUUUGUCAAUGAUUUUAUUGCAAUAUUUUCGCUCAACAUGGAAGCCAAAGUAUCUGUAAUCAAUAGUGGUCAAUGGAAAAAUUAAGAAAACUCGAUGAUGGUUUUGCUCAGGAUCUGCUAUUGAAAGGUCUAGGUGACGGCGGAUGAAACGGGAACUCGAGAUUAGGUCGUGCCAGCCAUUACAGACGCACUUGAAUCUAGAAAGAGCCUUGACAUCAAGCCUAAGGAGAAUUUUUUCACAAAGAACUAGUGGGAGUUUGGUCCGCGCUUUUUCUUCUGUCUUUCGUAUUUUUCUGUCGGCGUCUUCCAUGAAGAUGCGCUCUUUUUUUUUUCACAAACCCUAUACCUGAACGGUUUUUCUCCUUGUUUUGCUUUGUUUUUUUGUUGGGAGGGGGGGGGGGGGUAGGUAAAGGACUCCUCGUUUUAAUGAUUUGUUUAUAUUGAUUCUAUGGACUCCCAAAAAUAUUUAUUAGAUUCUUACACUUCUCAAUUUUAGAGAUGUUUCCUUAAACUUCACACUUUCUAUUCAUCACCAUAACUUAUAACUUGAAGGAUAUACGUGGAGUAUUUGUCCCUUUUAAGGUACUGAAAUCAGGGUCCUAUAGAUAUAUUGAACAACUAAAAGGGAGGUACGUGUAACCUUGUAAAUUUACCUGGAGGGAACUGUUUGUAGUUGUGAUAAAGCCCAAUAGAGGUUUGUGUACUUAUCCCUUGUUUUCAUUGGUUGUCGAAGUAGUUUGAGCUCCACAGAAUUCAACUUAGAUAGGUUUUCUUCAAGUAGCUGCUGAUUCAAGUAGUGAAGGAUCCUAUCUAGGACUGUCAAUGGAGUUGGGUCAGCCUGAACUCGGCUAGUUCGGUCCGACAAAAAGCCCAAUGAACCCGACCAUUUAGUGAGCUAGUCUGAGUUUGAGUCUAAAAAUUAGACCCGAAUUAAAUAUAAGCCAAGAUUGGGUCUUAUUAAACUCAAAUCCGAUAUAGGAUUAUAUAUCCAAAUAUAUUAUUACUAAAUAUUAAAUAUAUAUAUAAAUUACAAAGCACAAAAAUACAUUUAAAAACUCUUCCAUGAGCUUCUUGAGAACCAAUAUUAGUAAUAUAUAACUAAAUCUUUAACUUUUCUUAUUGGUUGAGUAAAUUUUUGUAUUGGCAUAAUAUUGUUUGAUUUCUUUUUGGUCUACAAACACAAAUCAUCAAGCAUAUUUGGAUUUAAAUCACAAGAUUAUAAAAAAAGUUUCAACUUUUAAAGGUGUCUUGGUUUAUGAUCGCAUGUUUUGUUACUAUUUUUCAUGCAUUUUGAACAAAUUAAAUAUAAAUAUUGUUGAAAAAUUUUUGGUUUACAUAGUUUUUAAGAACUAUUAUUUGUUCAUGUUUAGUGUUAAUAUUAUAGUCUUAUAAAUGUUAAAUUAGUUUUACAACUUAAAAGUUUUAGUAAUUAUAUUAAGAAAAUUAAGGAGUAAUAAGUGAGUUUGGAUUAAGCCCGAUUAAGGCUCAUAACCCGAAUAUUGUGUGAGUUGAAUAUGAGUUUCACAUUUAUGAAUUCGAAACUCAUAGCUCGAAACCCGAAAAUGUUUCAAAUUAAAUGAGCUGAACUUGAACAUAUCGAAACCCGACCCAUUAGGCCUGAUUCACAGGCCUAAUCCUAUCCAAAGAAAAAGUAGUUCAAUACUUGAGUAGUUCAGUUGAUAUAUAUGUCAAGUUUAACUCAAUUCUCCAUUAAACUUGAUAAUUUAUAGCAAACCAAAUUUCUUUGAAUCGCUUUUAGAUUAUUUUGAUAUGCAUGCCCAUUACAUAAUCAGAAAAUAUUACUCACAAAUUUCUGUACUUUGGAAUAUAAAUCAAAAAAAUUUUUUUUUUUGAGUUUGUUCUCGCCCCAUUGGGUAUGGAGGUUGUACUAAUCCAAGUUCGGAUUCACAAUACUGCUAAAUGUUUGUGAAGAACUUCCUUCCCACUUUCUCAAGAGGAAAUUUUAUUAUUUGCCGGCCUUGUGCGUAAUGCUGCCAUAUUAUUCUGACAAAAUAGUACACUAUAAUAGCUGUUUUUUUAUUGCAUCUGUAGGAGACUGGGGGCCGAGUUUUUGUUCCUUAAUUGGUGACGGAAAAUUAAUUACAAGAUAAAAAAUGGAGUUCCAAAUUAAAAACUUUUGAAUGUAAAUGUCAUUAGAAAAUAUAAAUAUUGUUAAUUCAAAUAAAAAAUAGAACACGGGAACUAAACUAAUUAAGAUCUAUAUGAAACUGAGAGUAAACAAGAGCUCCAUUGGUAACUUUCAAUUUUCCAUUGGCCAAGUUACUAAAGCUUGAGGAACAAAGUUGGCACGUUAUGAUACUAAAGAUGAACGAUUAAACAAGAGCUCCAUUGUUUUUUACAGUGCUGCUAUGGCUUCCUUAACUUUUUCAGUUAGGUUUCCUCAAUUAGUGGUCAAAACCCCUAAAUUGCUCAAAUUUUUUUUUUUUUUUUUUUAUAAAGAUAAGGAACUAAAUGGGUUGAUGAUGAAAAAUGACACAUUGGUCAAGACGAGAAAGAGGAAACAAAAUGGUCAUUUUCCUUUGAUAAGCUACCUCCAGGUAUAUAGGCCAAAGAUAUUUGGUCUUACAUUUAGGCCUCCAAAGAUCAUAAAUGCAAAAUAGUACUCCAUAUCCAUCUAUUCUCCCUCAUGCCAAGCUACCUUCAAGUGGAAUCCAAGAAAAACAAAUAGAAUUGACCAGGGAAAAAAGAGGAAUAUACAUACAUAUAUAUAUAUAUAUAUAUAUAUAUAUAUAUCAACAUAAUUAAAAAUUUCACUUCUAUUCCGUUCAUGGAUUGCGUCCUCUUUCUCUGUCUUCGUCCAAUCAUACAAGCUUAGAUUAAUCUUUUUUUUUUUUGAAGUUCCACUCGGUCCCCUUGGAACUUCAAAGAAAAAAUUAAGAAGAUCGAUGCCAAGGAGUUAGCAGGAAGUUUCUGGUAAAACUAGAUUUAGCAAUCAAGUUCAUAUGUAUUUCUUGAAAAUGAAACGGUGACUAAUGUCUUUCCGGAAGUAAAACAAUUUAUUCAUUACUAGCUUGCUUUUCAAUACAAGAUACAUGGCUGCUUUCUCCCUCUCAAGAUCAGGUAGAGAUUAGAGGCUGGAAGACUGGAGAGAUCGAUGCAGGUGACCACAGAACUACAGGGAAAACAAAUGGAAAUUGAACAAAAUGAAGACUUAGAAGUUUUUGGCCUUCAGUUGGGAUUAGUGGGAAAACAUAUCCCAUAAAAAUUAGAUCCACCGGAAAGCAUACAAUACAUGCUUCCGUCACAGUUCUUACAAUCAUCCCACUCAUAGUAGGAUGCUUGUGCUAUGCAUUGAGAUCCAAGCUGACACAGUGAGCAAUCCAGUGGGUCUCCAAAGCUCAUACAUUGCCCAUUAACGCCCAGCAUCGUCAUUUUUUGGGAGAUCUUAGGAGCUGCAAAACAAAUUAUACAAUGAACUGGAGUUAAUUAGCAGUCAUGAUAUAUAAAGAAACUCUGGAUUAUAAAGCAAAGUUUGUUUGCUUUAACUUGCAAAAUGUGUCUUAAAACAAGACAGGAAGCAAUCUCAAAAAUUGAAGAAGCAGAGCGCUAGAGACUAACAAGCAACAGAGAGCAACAAGAUUGCUAUGACAAAGAGAGAAAAUGAAGGUUUUCUCGUCAUCUUUUUCUAGUUUUUCUUUUUUCUUCUCUUCACUCUUCUUUUGUGAAUCUGCACUUUUCUAUGGUGGAUCUACAUAGGGAUGACUGGCUAUAUAUAAAGUUUUUUUUUUUUUUUGAGUUGGCAAAGUUGACUUUCAAAUGCAGGAGUAAAAUUACCGUCAGGCGUGGCAAAAUUGCUAGUGGAAUUUUAUCAUUACAGCUAGAGCUGUUAAGCGUAACGAGCUACUCGAAAGCUCGUUAAGGCUCGGAUCGAUAAGGCUCGAGAUCGGCUCGUUAAUUUCAAUUAACGAGCCGAGCUCGAGCUCGAUAAAUACUCGUUGAGUUAUCGAGCCGAGUAAGCUCGAACUCGAUUCUUUAUCGAGUAGCUCGGUUGAGCUCGACAAAGAAGGGUAUUUGUGUCAUUUUAGCAGUCAACAAGUAGAAAUUUGGACUAGGGUUGAUAUUGCAUCGUCUCAUACUCUCAUUCUUCAUUUCUGCCUCUCCCUCUCCGCUGCACGCCGCACCCAGUAACCCACAGCCGCACCCAGUAACCCACAGCCGCACCCACAGGCCACAGCCCCGCAACGCCGCAGCUCCGCAACCCUGCAACCCUGCAGCCCGGAUCUGGAUCAACCCUGCAACCCCGCAGCUCCGCAACCCUGCCAGCCCCGCAACACCGCAACCCGCAACCAGUAACCCACACAGCCGCACCCAGCAACCCCGCAGCCCCGCAACCCCCGCAACCCCGCAGCCCCGCAACCCCGCAGCCCCGCAGCCCUCGCAACCCCGCAACCCCGCAGCCCGCAACCCCGCAACACCGUAACCCCGCACUCCACAGCAAGCCGCACUCCACAGCUGCAACCCACAGCAACCUCUGCCUCCACUGCCGCCCACAGCCUCUGUUUUCUGCCAUUAACAACCCCGUCCACGGCCAGGGCCAAAACCAGUCCAAUUUGACUGGUUUCUCUAAUCCUUCGUGAUAUUUGGUAAGUCUCGUCUCUUUUCGUAGGUUAAUUGUACUGAAUGACAAGAGUUCAUUCUUGUCUCUUUUCUGGUUUAGUAGCAGUUGGUAAUGUAGUAGUUGACACAUCUCAUAUGUACAAGGAUGGAUCAACAAAUUUUCUUCUCGCGUGAGGACUGCAUCCAACCUCUUUGUUUUAUUCCUUUCUGCAAUAACUUGCAGUUCAAUCAUAGAAAUUUAAUGUGGAAAAUCUAGAUUAUGCUUAUUAAUAUCUGAUAAUUUUAAAGAGUACUCGAAAAGAUAACGUCUGAGUUUUUGCAGUAGUUUUACCUUUUCUUCAUGGAUUUCUUGGGGGGAUGGGGUGGGGAAGCAAGAAGUGUUCUGCUUGUGGGUAUAAUCUGCUGCUAAAUGUGCCUAUAAAUCUUUUCUAAAACUUAAUUAUUAGUACAAUUAGAUAUUGCACUUCAAUAUCUGGAGGAUUGAAAGGGAAGAAAAUAAGUAUGGUUGAUUAAGACUUCUUAUUUGUGAAAUUUGAGAAAAAAGAUGUAAGGAUGUUAACCUUGAUAUCAAAAAAGCCUUACGGACUUAAUUUGGACAGCAUACUUCUUUUUUUUUGGGUAAAUUUUUGAUCUUUUGAAUGAAACAUGUCAAUGUUCGUGAGCUAACUGUUGCACUAUCACAGGGAUUGAUUGGCCUUUCAUUUCAUUUCAUUUCAAUUUCAAAGUGUUUGAUUAGUUUGAUAUUUUCGUCUUGGGGCCAUUUAUGUGUGUGUGAAUUGAGUUAAAUGAAUUGUUGAAUGAAUAAUAUAGGCACUACACCAUAUGUGCCUUCAUCUAUUUUGUUCAGCCUCUCGAACUCAUCAACACUUUUACAACCCUGAAGCAUGUUCACGGCCCUUGGUGGAGGAACUGCAUGUUCUGGUGUCCCGUGGGAGUUGUGUUCAUCAUCAGAACCAGUAUCCGCAUUGCUACCACUGGUUCCACCAUAACUGCGAUCUUCAUCAACCUCCAUGUACUCAUUCCUGUCCAAUUCAUCAGGAUCACUAUCUCCACUAAAGGAUCUAACGCGUUCAUCAGAAGACCUGACCCUAUUUCCCACUGAACCUUCUCUCCUCAGUUCCAUGUACUCAUUCCUUGUGAAGCUGUACUUAUUCUUGUGAUUUCUGAAGGGGUUGUACUUUUUCUUGUCAGGUGUUUGAAGUUGGACAAUUUUUAAGCUAUGUAGCAGUGUUUUACAUGGUUAUUUGGCUGUAGUUUGUGCGUUUAUUUGGCUGGACAAAACCUGUUAUGGUAUAUUGGCUCUUAUGAAUGUUGUUUCAUAUGGAAUUAGACUGUAGUUUGUGUAUUUGUUGACUGCAGCCCUGGAGUUUGUGUUGUAUGGAUCAUGGAUGUUAUGGUCUUAUUUGUCUUGGAUGAAAUGUGGUUAGAGUUUGUGUAUUGUUGAAUGUGAAUGGCAUUGGUUGCCAAUCCUAAUAUUUUUUGUUGAUUUUGGAUAGCCUAAAUCUGGAUAUGUUGGAGCAGGACUUCGUAAA